Molecule: transfer RNA, 71 nt
Filed under: Caudoviricetes sp.
Lineage: Duplodnaviria; Heunggongvirae; Uroviricota; Caudoviricetes
Description: tRNA-Gly
Rfam family: tRNA
About the family: Transfer RNA (tRNA) molecules are approximately 80 nucleotides in length. Their secondary structure includes four short double-helical elements and three loops (D, anti-codon, and T loops).
Source: RNAcentral
UUAGAAUUGGUCAAGAGGUAAGACACAACCCUUCCAAGGUUGCUACGUCGGUUCGAAUCCGACAUUCUAAA